This is a long non-coding RNA of Triticum urartu, 1301 nucleotides long. RefSeq lists it as uncharacterized. The record is from RefSeq and is a predicted model, not a curated record. NCBI's taxonomy places the organism in Eukaryota, Viridiplantae, Streptophyta, Magnoliopsida, Poales, Poaceae.
CUUUCAACAGACACAUCACGCCACGAUCCCCUUCCUGUUCCCCGCGCACGAGCGGGCGCGCAGCCGCCGCCGCCUUCCUCGCUGAGUCCGCGGCCGAACUCCACGCCGGGAGCAGCGGUAUACAUCCCUCCGUCGCCUCCCUCUCCCUCGAGCCUCGAACUGCUCGGCAGCCUUCCUCCCGUCCCAAGUCCAGGAGAUGCAUGGGGACCACGGCGGCAUGGAGACCAUCGUCGCAUGGGAAUACGAGCACCGGCGGGAUGGAGACCAUCGUCUCCCUCAACCGCCUCGCCGGCGUUCAAUAAUUUGUCGCCGGAUCCUAUCGUCGGCAUCCGUAACUGCAAGAACCGGACGUCCCCUGUGCCCUAGCAGUGGUCACUCUCGAUCUCCCUCUCCCGAACGACCCAGACAGAAGGUGCACAAGGCCAUGGUCGGUUGCGCCGGCGAUGGGGUUGGUGCACACAAUAGUGACGUCAACCUGACUGCUGGCUGUUAAGCAUCGUCUUCAACGUCCAUACUACCACAUAUCUUAUUUAGUUUGACCUUCCCUGAGGAUGAGGGCUUCGUGUCUCACAUGGUAGUGUUCUCUCCCAAUCUCAUGAGGCUACCACAAUCAUAAGCCAUCGUGUUCAUUAGGGAAAUAGAGGUCCAGGAAAAGAAGAUGGUUUGGGGAAACACAAACAUGCUGAGGCAUAGUAAAGCUGCAGAUCUAAAUGCGUGGACAAUAUCUCCUGCAGUUUUGAUUCAUUUUUAUUCAGGUAACUGCUCCAGGUGAGAAUGAUGUGCUACUGCUCAUGCCAAAGGCUGUGAUACAUUUUUUUUAUGAUAGUAUGAAUUGAUUGAUGAUGCAGCACAAGUAGCACAAGUUCUGCAGUAUCCAUUUCAGUAAGAAGUUUGCAUUGAGUAAUUCUUUUAAAGAAGAAGCUUACAAUGCACAACUAGCUAGCGAAUACUUCAUUCUUCAGUGAAAGACAUAGCAUAUAAUUACCUUGAGCACAUCAAUACAAGAUUUUCUAGCAUCAAGUAUUGUUCAUGGUUCACUCAUAAUGUGUGUUCUGUCCACUUUUCAAUUUAAUUUUAUUAAGAUUUCUGGUUAUCACUGCAGGAGUUGCACCAGAGUCAACAAGGGAAGUCAGCAUUGCAGACUCUGUUAACUGUUCCAGAUUUUAUCAACAUUAAAUGGUGCAUUGCCAUUGACAGGAGGGGAUGCAGCGCUGGAAAUAACUCAUCGUAGUAAUUAGCUCAUUAUUGUAUAUUGUCAGUUAUACUUCUCUUCAUAUAUACUACGACAUCACGUUUCCCUC